GUGAGGAAUAUUGGUCAAUGGGCGGAAGCCUGAACCAGCCAUGCCGCGUGAUGGAAGGAGGCCCUAUGGGUCGUAAACAUCUUUUGUGCGGGAGCAAUAAGGGCCACGCGUGGUCCGAUGAGAGUACCGUACGAAUAAGCAUCGGCUAACUCCGUGCCAGCAGCCGCGGUAAUACGGAGGAUGCAAGCGUUAUCCGGAUUUAUUGGGUUUAAAGGGUGCGUAGGCUGUUUUCCAAGUCAGCGGUGAAAUGCCGGGGCUCAACCCCGGAACUGCCAUUGAUACUGGGAGGCUUGAAUGCGGAUGCCGUGGGAGGAAUGAGUAGUGUAGCGGUGAAAUGCAUAGAUAUUACUCAGAACACCGAUUGCGAAGGCAUCUCACGAAUCCGCUAUUGACGCUGAGGCACGAAAGCGUGGGGAUCAAACAGG
This 425-nucleotide ribosomal RNA is filed under the name uncultured rumen bacterium. Its description in RNAcentral is "bacterial SSU rRNA". It matches the Rfam family "Bacterial small subunit ribosomal RNA", at positions 354 to 776 of the family's 1533-position model. The record is from RNAcentral.